RNAcentral lists this ribosomal RNA (301 nucleotides) under uncultured bacterium. Its description in RNAcentral is "partial 16S ribosomal RNA". It matches the Rfam family "Bacterial small subunit ribosomal RNA", at positions 509 to 807 of the family's 1533-position model. The record is from RNAcentral.
CAGUCGCCACGGUAAUACAGAGGGUGCGAGCGUUAAUCGGAUUUACUGGGCGUAAAGCGUGCGUAGGCGGCUUCUUAAGUCGGAUGUGAAAUCCCUGAGCUUAACUUAGGAAUUGCAUUCGAUACUGGGAAGCUAGAGUAUGGGAGAGGAUGGUAGAAUUCCAGGUGUAGCGGUGAAAUGCGUAGAGAUCUGGAGGAAUACCGAUGGCGAAGGCAGCCAUCUGGCCUAAUACUGACGCUGAGGUACGAAAGCAUGGGGAGCAAACAGGAUUAGAGACCCCAGUAGUCCCUGUCUCUUAUAC